RNAcentral lists this ribosomal RNA (532 nucleotides) under uncultured bacterium. Its description in RNAcentral is "bacterial SSU rRNA". It matches the Rfam family "Bacterial small subunit ribosomal RNA", at positions 9 to 588 of the family's 1533-position model. The record is from RNAcentral.
GAGUUUGAUCAUGGCUCAGGAUGAACGCUGGCGGCGUGCUUAACACAUGCAAGUCGAACGAACCUUCGGGUUAGUGGCGGACGGGUGAGUAACGCGUGAGAAUCUGCCCUCAGGAGGGGGAUAACGGUUGGAAACGACCGCUAAUACCCCAUAUGCCGCGAGGUGAAAUGAAUUUCGCCUGAGGAUGAGCUCGCGUCUGAUUAGCUAGUUGGUGGGGUAAAGGCUUACCAAGGCAUCGAUCAGUAGCUGGUCUGAGAGGAUGAUCAGCCACACUGGGACUGAGACACGGCCCAGACUCCUACGGGAGGCAGCAGUGGGGAAUUUUCCGCAAUGGGCGAAAGCCUGACGGAGCAACGCCGCGUGAGGGAUGAAGGCCUCUGGGCUGUAAACCUCUUUUAUCAAGGAAGAAGAUCUGACGGUACUUGAUGAAUAAGCCACGGCUAAUUCCGUGCCAGCAGCCGCGGUAAUACGGGAGUGGCAAGCGUUAUCCGGAAUUAUUGGGCGUAAAGCGUCCGCAGGCGGCCCUUCAAGU